AGCCUCAUCAACCUUUCGGUGUAGAUGUUGUCGCAUAGCGAUGGCU
RNAcentral lists this non-coding RNA (46 nucleotides) under unclassified sequences. RNAcentral's name for it is "COG2908 RNA". It matches the Rfam family "COG2908 RNA". The record is from RNAcentral.